CAAAUUUCCAAAAGGAGUUUUCUUCUCUUGGGUAAAACUUCAUUCUAACAACGUUUUCAGAUCCUAAUUGUAAAAUUAUUAAUUGGUGUGAGUAACUCCCUGGGACCUUAUACAUGAACAUCAAAUAUUCAUACAUACAUAAUAUAGUGACAAUCCCAAUUAGAUUUGAUACCAACAAUUCAUGAGAUAAAUUAGGAUUCAUGGAAGGGUUAGUUUUAGGUGAAGGAUCGAGUUGAGCACUGAAACCAACCCAUAUGGUACUCAAAAAGAAAACCCAUGGUAAAUUGAUCUCGAAUCAAUCUGAACGUAAUAUAUAUAUAGACAUAGAGCAACUCAUAGAGAGUAAUAGGAAUGCAGCAACAUGAUGACAUGAUUCUUCAAACGCAUUGGAA
This 392-nucleotide long non-coding RNA is filed under the name Fragaria vesca (wild strawberry). RNAcentral's name for it is "long non-coding RNA (FVES_LNC005657)". The record is from RNAcentral. Lineage: Eukaryota; Viridiplantae; Streptophyta; Magnoliopsida; Rosales; Rosaceae.